Molecule: ribosomal RNA, 392 nt
Filed under: uncultured bacterium
Lineage: Bacteria
Description: partial 16S ribosomal RNA
Rfam family: Bacterial small subunit ribosomal RNA
Source: RNAcentral
AUACGUAGGGGGCGAGCGUUGUCCGGAUUUACUGGGCGUAAAGGGUGAGUAGGCGGUUAUAUGUGUCAGAUGUAAAAGGCUAUGGCUUAACCAUAGUUAGCAUUUGAAACUGUAUGACUUGAGUGCAGGAGAGGUAAGUGGAAUUCCUAGUGUAGCGGUGAAAUGCGUAGAUAUUAGGAGGAACACCAGUGGCGAAGGCGACUUACUGGACUGUAACUGACGCUGAGUCACGAAAGCGUGGGUAGCAAACAGGAUUAGAUACCCUGGUAGUCCACGCUGUAAACGAUGAGUGCUAGGUGUUGGCCAGCGAUGGUCAGUGCCGCAGUAAACACAUUAAGCACUCCGCCUGGGGAGUACGGUCGCAAGACUGAAACUCAAAGGAAUUGGCGGGG